This 253-nucleotide unclassified non-coding RNA is filed under the name uncultured Acidobacteriota bacterium. RNAcentral describes it as "uncultured Acidobacteria bacterium contains 16S-23S intergenic spacer region". It matches the Rfam family "Bacterial small subunit ribosomal RNA", at positions 524 to 776 of the family's 1533-position model. The record is from RNAcentral. Lineage: Bacteria; Pseudomonadati; Acidobacteriota.
UACGGGGGGGGCAAGCGUUGUUCGGAAUUACUGGGCGUAAAGGGCGCGUAGGCGGUUUGUUAAGUCGAAUGUGAAAACUCUGGGCUCAACCCAGAGCCUGCAUUCGAUACUGGCAGGCUAGAGUGCGAGAGGGGAAAGCGGAAUUCCUGGUGUAGCGGUGAAAUGCGUAGAUAUCAGGAGGAACACCGGUGGCGAAGGCGGCUUUCUGGAUCGCAACUGACGCUGAGGCGCGAAAGCUAGGGUGGCAAACGGG